CGUGCAGGCGGUUUCGUAAGUCGGAUGUGAAAGCUCCUGGCUUAACUGGGAGAGGUCGUUCGAUACUGCGGGACUUGAGGUCGGGAGAGGGACGUGGAAUUCCCGGUGUAGUGGUGGAAUGCGUAGAGAUCGGGAGGAACACCAGUGGCGAAGGCGGCGUCCUGGCCCGCACCUGACGCUAAGACGCGAAAGCGUGGGUAGCGAACG
RNAcentral lists this ribosomal RNA (207 nucleotides) under uncultured bacterium. Its description in RNAcentral is "partial 16S ribosomal RNA". It matches the Rfam family "Bacterial small subunit ribosomal RNA", at positions 568 to 774 of the family's 1533-position model. The record is from RNAcentral.